This 66-nucleotide transfer RNA is filed under the name Leptestheria dahalacensis. Its description in RNAcentral is "tRNA-Ser". The record is from RNAcentral. Lineage: Eukaryota; Metazoa; Arthropoda; Branchiopoda; Diplostraca; Leptestheriidae.
AAGAUAAAAGUUAAAGAGAAGGGCUGCUAACCUUUUUCUAAGCGGUUAGACUCCGUUUGUAUCUUU